UUGCUGCAGUUGCGUUUUCUGGGGUCCCAUAACUAACCCUCCUGCCUUCAUUUUCAAACUGAUCUAUUGACAGCUGUCUCACCAUUCCACCUAAUGCUCCACCCGUCUCUGCAGCUACUACCACCUCUCGAUGAUGCAAACGUAUGCCAGCUGGCGCAGAACUAGCUACAACAUCAGAAUCAGGUUUUAUCAUUUGUUUCCCACUAGGAGUAGCCUCCGCUCCACGGUCUCUAUCUGGCAGAUCAACUUCACCGUUAGAUUGACGUGCUUUUGCGGCGGCUAGGGUUUUAGCAAUAGCUUCAGCUUCAGCUGCCGAUGCCUCAACCAAAUAUUCAACUCCUUUGCUUAAUC
RNAcentral lists this long non-coding RNA (351 nucleotides) under Helianthus annuus (common sunflower). RNAcentral describes it as "sRNA HanXRQr2_Chr03g0134841". The record is from RNAcentral. Lineage: Eukaryota; Viridiplantae; Streptophyta; Magnoliopsida; Asterales; Asteraceae.